UAGACUAAGGAGCAGCUGCUAGGUACAGCCAACCGAACAACAUCGACUCUCUGUUUUCUUGUAUUUUGUGGCAUAAAAGAAGAAGCAAACCCUACCUUAUACCCGUGUUCUGUGUGUGCGUGUGUGAUAGUGGUGGUAGCUAGCAUCUUCUCUCUCUCUCUCUGCUCCAACCUCUGAAUUUCAAAAUGGUGAAAGCAAGUGAGAGCGGUGCAGUUCCUGAGCCGGUUAUGGAUGCAGCUAACGCCACUCUCUCCAACCUUCAACUACUCCGAACGCAUUUUAACGACUUUUUGUCGCUCUCCGAACCUCAAACCCUCUCCCAAAUGCCCCCUCUUCAACGCGCUCACGUUCUCUUCAUCCUCGCUAAAAUCACCUCUACCCUUCUCGAAUUGAAUUUGAGAUGUAGUGGGGUCCACCCAGAUGACCAUCCCAUCAAAUCAGAGCUCGACAGAAUGAACUUGUACGAGGACAAACUGGAACGUAUGGUUGAUUUGAGUAAAGCUCCACUGCGACCUUCCACUACCUUGAAUUAUCAGGCGGCUACACGCUUCAUAGAACACUCGCUGCCUGACCUAACUUCUGAGCAGAGGGAAAAUAUGAGGAACAUAAGUAGAGGGGAGAGAACAAAGACAAACCUUCCUGGUCGGGCAGGUCAAAAGAGGAAGUAUCAGUCUUCUGAAAAACAAUCUGUUAAAGCAGCUGCCAAGGAUUUUUUGGAGAAAGCUGCCCGGGAGCUUCUUGGUGAUACCAGUGGUGGUAUUAAGGGACCGCUACAAGUUGACAUGUCAGAGGAUGAUGACGACAAACAGCCCUUAUCUUGAUUUUCCAGAAAUUUGAACAGGUUGGAUCCACUCUGCUCUAUCUUUUGGGCACAUCUCCGACUUUAUCUACCACCAUGAGAGAUAUUGAACAUGUCAACAUGUUCAACACUUUCUAAACAUCACUUAUUGUAUGCCUUCGAUGUGUCCGACACCCCUAGUCAAGCUUGAGCAAAGAAGUGUGCGUGAACAAGUGGAGCUGUGUCCGUAGGCGUUUUUGCUUUUCCUAUCUUCUUAGCGACAGAAUCUUGUUAAAUUAAUGUAUCAUCAACAUUUCAGUUUUGGUUAGCUUCGAUUAAUGUCAGUUUUUAUCGGACAUUUUGUCUGUUGGAUUAGCAGAUCAACAAUGUACAUGUCUCAAUUUUUGAUAGGCUACUCACUGUCUGAGCUUUUCCACUUGCUUGGGUUCCAAAUUUAAGGAACCAGUUUUUAUCGGAGCUGAUGAUUAUAAUUGAUGAUAUA
Vigna radiata var. radiata (mung bean) is the source of this 1280-nucleotide RNA transcript. It is a transcript of the gene named nuclear nucleic acid-binding protein C1D, with no coding region annotated. The transcript has 7 exons. Lineage: Eukaryota; Viridiplantae; Streptophyta; Magnoliopsida; Fabales; Fabaceae. The record is from RefSeq and is a predicted model, not a curated record.